RNAcentral lists this ribosomal RNA (253 nucleotides) under uncultured bacterium. RNAcentral describes it as "partial 16S ribosomal RNA". It matches the Rfam family "Bacterial small subunit ribosomal RNA", at positions 524 to 776 of the family's 1533-position model. The record is from RNAcentral.
UACGGAGGGUGCAAGCGUUAUCCGGAUUUACUGGGUUUAAAGGGUGCGCAGGCGGCUAUGUAAGUCAGUGGUGAAAUCUCUAGGCUUAACCUGGAAAUUGCCGUUGAUACUAUAUAUCUUGAAUGCUGUGGAGGUAAGCGGAAUAUGUCAUGUAGCGGUGAAAUGCUUAGAUAUGACAUAGAACACCUAUUGCGAAGGCAGCGUACUGCGCAGAUAUUGACGCUCAGGCACGAAAGCGUGGGGAGCAAACAGG